GAUGAACGCUGGCGGCGUGCCUAAUACAUGCAAGUCGAGCUAACAGAUGAGGAGCUUGCUCCUCUGACGUUAGCGGCGGACGGGUGAGUAACACGUGGAUAACCUACCUAUAAGACUGGGAUAACUUCGGGAAACCGGAGCUAAUACCGGAUAAUAUAUUGAACCGCAUGGUUCAAUAGUGAAAGACGGUUUUGCUGUCACUUAUAGAUGGAUCCGCGCCGCAUUAGCUAGUUGGUAAGGUAACGGCUUACCAAGGCAACGAUGCGUAGCCGACCUGAGAGGGUGAUCGGCCACACUGGAACUGAGACACGGUCCAGACUCCUACGGGAGGCAGCAGUAGGGAAUCUUCCGCAAUGGGCGAAAGCUUGACGGAGCAACGCCGCGUGAGUGAUGAAGGUCUUCGGAUCGUAAAACUCUGUUAUUAGGGAAGAACAAAUGUGUAAGUAACUAUGCACGUCUUGACGGUACCUAAUCAGAAAGCCACGGCUAACUACGUG
RNAcentral lists this ribosomal RNA (497 nucleotides) under uncultured bacterium. RNAcentral's name for it is "partial 16S ribosomal RNA". It matches the Rfam family "Bacterial small subunit ribosomal RNA", at positions 28 to 507 of the family's 1533-position model. The record is from RNAcentral.